GACGAACGCUGGCGGCGUGCUUAACACAUGCAAGUCGAGCGGUAAGGCCCUUUCGGGGGUACGACGAGCGGCGAACGGGUGAGUAACACGUGGGUGACCUGCCCUCAGCUCUGGGAUAAGCCUGGGAAACCGGGUCUAAUACUGGAUAUGACUCCAUGACGCAUGUUGUGGGGUGGAAAGCCUUGUGCGGCUGAGGAUGGGCCCGCGGCCUAUCAGCUUGUUGGUGGGGUGAGGCCUACCAAGGCGACGACGGGUAGCCGGCCUGAGAGGGCGACCGGCCACACUGGGACUGAGACACGGCCCAGACUCCUACGGGAGGCAGCAGUGGGGGAAUCUUGCGCAAUGGGCGAAAGCCUGACGCAGCGACGCCGCGUGAGGGAUGACGGCCUGGUGUAACU
This 398-nucleotide ribosomal RNA is filed under the name uncultured bacterium. RNAcentral describes it as "bacterial SSU rRNA". It matches the Rfam family "Bacterial small subunit ribosomal RNA", at positions 28 to 430 of the family's 1533-position model. The record is from RNAcentral.